RNAcentral lists this ribosomal RNA (333 nucleotides) under Platypelis grandis (Boulenger's giant treefrog). RNAcentral's name for it is "Cophyla grandis (Boulenger's giant treefrog) partial 16S ribosomal RNA". It matches the Rfam family "Bacterial large subunit ribosomal RNA", at positions 2015 to 2516 of the family's 2925-position model. The record is from RNAcentral. Lineage: Eukaryota; Metazoa; Chordata; Amphibia; Anura; Microhylidae.
ACUGUCUCCCCCCUCCAUCAGUGAAACUGAUCUCCUCGUGAAGAAGCGAGGAUAACUGUAUAAGACGAGAAGACCCCAUGGAGCUUAAAACUUGUACCACUGCUUUAAAAUACACCAAAUAACUUAAGCAAGUAAUGACUACGAGUCUUUCGGCUGGGGCGACCACGGAGAAAAACCAAACCUCCAUGAUGAAAGGAAUAAUCCUAAUCAAAGAGCUACUCCUCCAAGAAUCAACAAAUUGACACAAUUGACCCAAACUUUUUUGACCAACGAACCAAGUUACCCUGGGGAUAACAGCGCAAUCCAUUUCAAGAGACCCCAUCGACAAAUGGG